Molecule: non-coding RNA, 784 nt
Organism: Pelobates cultripes (western spadefoot toad)
Lineage: Eukaryota; Metazoa; Chordata; Amphibia; Anura; Pelobatidae
Source: the annotation of a GenBank genome assembly
GUCACACACACAGUCACUUACACACAGUUACAGGCAGACAGUCAAAUACGCUGGCAAUCACACAGGCAGACAGUCACACACACAAUCACAGACAGUCACACAUACACACAACACAGUCACAGACAGUCACACACACACACAAUCACAGGCAGACAGUCACACACACACACCCACAAUCACAGGCAGACAGUCACACACAGUGACACAAACACACACAGAGUAACACAGACAAUCACAGGCAGACAGUCACACACACACAGUGACACACACACACACACAAUCACAGGCAGACAGUCAUACAUAGACAUAACACAAUCACAGUCACACACACACAAUCAGUCAGAAAGUCACACACACAGAGUCACACAGACAAUCACAAGCAGACAAUCACAAGCAGGCAAUCACAAGCAGGCAAUCACAGGCAGACAAUCACAGGCAGUCACACACACACAAACACACACACAAUCAGUCAGAGAGUCACACACACAGAGUCACACAGACAAUCACAGGCAGACAAUCACAGGCAGUCACACACACACACACAAGCAGACAAUCACAGACACAGUCAAAGACAGUCACAAUCACAGUUACACACACACAGCACACACUCUCUCACUUACAGUAACCAUGGGCUGGAGGAGGAGGGGAUUCAGUCCCUCCUGUGCUGUAUUUGGGGAAGCAGGGACUCCUUCCUGCUUCCCCUCUGUGUGCAGCAGUAUGAGGCUGCAUAUAGCUCCGCCCCCAUAUCCGGCCUGGCUCCGCCCCCAUGGCCAAUCUGGCUCCG